ACGCUGGCGGCAUGCCUAACACAUGCAAGUCGAACGGUAACAGGUCUUCGGAUGCUGACGAGUGGCGCACGGGUGAGUAACGCGUGGAUAUCUGCCUAUGAGUGGGGGAUAACUUUCGGAAACGAAAGCUAAUACCGCAUAAUCUCUACGGAGCAAAGCAGGGGACCUUUCGGGGCCUUGUGCUUAUAGAUGAGUCCGCGUCAGAUUAGCUAGUUGGUGGGGUAAGAGCCUACCAAGGCGAUGAUCUGUAGCUGGUUUGAGAGGAUGAUCAGUCACACUGGAACUGAGACACGGUCCAGACUCCUACGGGAGGCAGCAGUGGGGAAUUUUGCACAAUGGGCGCAAGCCUGAUGCAGCGAUGCCGCGUGUGGGAAGAAGGCCUUUGGGUUGUAAACCACUUUCAAUUGGGAAGAAGGGAUGAGUAUUAAUAAUACUCUGACUUGACGGUACCUUUAGAAGAAGCACCGGCUAAUUUCGUGCCAGCAGCCGCGGUAAUACGAAAGGUGCAAGCGUUGUUCGGAUUUACUGGGCGUAAAGAGAUCGUAGGUGGUUUGUUAAGUUAGAUGUGAAAUCCCGGGGCUCAACCUCGGAACUGCAUCUAAAACUGGCAGACUUGAGUUCGGGAGGGGUAAGCGGAAUUCCGUGUGUAGCAGUGAAAUGCGUAGAUAUACGGAGGAACACCUGAGGCGAAGGCGGCUUACUGGACCGAUACUGACACUGAGGAUCGAAAGCGUGGGUAGCAAACASGAUUAGAUACCCUGGUAGUCCACGCCCUAAACGAUGUCAACUAGCCGUUGCGGGUAUCGACCCCUGCAGUGGCGCAGCUAACGCGAUAAGUUGACCGCCUGGGGAGUACGGUCGCA
Molecule: ribosomal RNA, 863 nt
Filed under: uncultured Zetaproteobacteria bacterium
Lineage: Bacteria; Pseudomonadati; Pseudomonadota; Candidatius Mariprofundia
Description: bacterial SSU rRNA
Rfam family: Bacterial small subunit ribosomal RNA
Source: RNAcentral